UACUAGAGUAGCACUCGCAUAUCAAUAAGCGGAGGAAAAGAAACUAACAAGGAUUCCCCUAGUAACGGCGAGUGAAGCGGGAAGAGCUCAAAUUUGAAAUCUUAAAGGGUUUCCCUUUACGAAUUGUAGUUUAAAGAAGUGUUUUCUGUUGAGGUUUUGGUAAAAGUUCUUUGGAAUAGGACAUCAUAGAGGGUGAGAAUCCCGUAUUUGACCUUUACUUUCAACUUUGUGAUACACUUUCAAAGAGUCGGAUUGUUUGGGAAUGCAGUCCAAAAUGGGUGGUAAAUUUCAUCUAAAGCUAAAUAUUGGCGAGAGACCGAUAGCGAACAAGUACCGUGAGGGAAAGAUGAAAAGAACUUUGAAAAGAGAGUUAAACAGUACGUGAAAUUGUCAAAAGGGAAGCGUUUGACACCAGUGUUGUUUUUCUGAAAAUCAAUUAAAGAACUGUUUAUGCUAAGUUGUUUAGACUUUAUCAGCUAUCUGUUUAGUUUUGAGCUUUUCUUUAAUGCACUUUUCAGUUAACAAGUCAACAUCAAUUUCUUUUGCUGUAAAAAAGCUUGAGGAAGGUGGCUUGAGAUUCGUCUUAAGUGUUUAUAGCCUCUUGCCUAUGCAGUCGGAGAGAUUGAGGUCUGCAGCGUAGAUCCUUCGGGGCUAAAUGCAUUUGUGCUAAGUUAUAGCAUUUUAUAGACAACUUGUUGACUAUGAUUUGUCUUGUAGCUUACUCGCUUAUGUUAUUUUACCUACGCUUAGGAUGUUGAGCGCAUGUCUCUCUCU
RNAcentral lists this ribosomal RNA (774 nucleotides) under uncultured Neocallimastigales. RNAcentral's name for it is "partial large subunit ribosomal RNA". It matches the Rfam family "Eukaryotic large subunit ribosomal RNA", at positions 20 to 616 of the family's 3401-position model. Lineage: Eukaryota; Fungi; Neocallimastigomycota; Neocallimastigomycetes; Neocallimastigales. The record is from RNAcentral.